Molecule: small RNA, 35 nt
Filed under: Bombyx mori (domestic silkworm)
Lineage: Eukaryota; Metazoa; Arthropoda; Insecta; Lepidoptera; Bombycidae
Description: ovarian small RNA-14032
Source: RNAcentral
CCUGAAAUCUCAGUUUCAUAGAGAGCAAUUGUGGG